GGUGGGGGAAGAUGGAUUGUCAGCCUCUGAAGUGUGUCGGCCUCCCAGGCUGGCCGUGGACGUGUGCGUCUACCUUCCGUCUGUCUUCGAGGAGUCUAUGGGUGUCUGUCUUUGUGCUUGUCCCUGGUUGCCCCCUCCCCUUGGCUGUUACUGAGGCGGAGACAAGGGUGAUGAUUGGCUUUCUGGGGAGAGAGACGUCUUGUGAUUGGUUGAAUCUCUGAAGCUUUUGAAGCUGUGAGAGGAGGCUCCCACGGAGGCUGGGUAAGCAGCCG
Molecule: long non-coding RNA, 272 nt
Filed under: Cricetulus griseus (Chinese hamster)
Lineage: Eukaryota; Metazoa; Chordata; Mammalia; Rodentia; Cricetidae
Description: lncRNA (ENSCGRG00000026102.1)
Source: RNAcentral